Rosa rugosa (rugosa rose) is the source of this 1365-nucleotide RNA transcript. It is a transcript of the gene named serine/threonine-protein kinase PBL34-like, with no coding region annotated. The transcript has 6 exons. Lineage: Eukaryota; Viridiplantae; Streptophyta; Magnoliopsida; Rosales; Rosaceae. The record is from RefSeq and is a predicted model, not a curated record.
CCAUUUGCUCCUUCUUCCUCUGUCGGCCGCACACGCCCCUCUCUCUAUCUCUCUCCCCGGCUCCCCCCUUCUUCCUCUCACCUUCUCUCUGUCACGCCGGAAAGCUCGACUUCCGGCCGUUGACUUUUGGCAUUGCCACCACCAAAAGAUAGCCUAGGCGAUGGAGAACAAAACCCAGCCACCCCGCCCUCGAUCGAGAUCGCCGAACCACCACACACGACCCCUAAAGCUAUGCCGUUGCUGUUCCUUAACCCUCUUCGAUCUCCGGCCAUCUUUUCAACCUAAAACACGAUGGAUUGGUACCAGAGAGUGGAGAAGCCAAGAGCAAAGACGCCAAUUGAUGAGAAUGAGAUUAGGAUUACGAGCCAAGGGAGGAUGCGAAACUACAUCACUUACGCCAUGACUCUGCUUCAGAAAUCAAAUCUACAAAUGAUACAAGCAGAGACCAACUGAUGGCUACUGCAGUGUCUAACUCAACCACUAGUAACACAGAAAGUAAUGCAUCCACUUCAAAAUUUGAAGAGGAACUUAAAGUUGCUUCAAGGUUGCGAAAAUUUGCUUUUAACGAUCUUAAAUUGGCAACAAGAAAUUUCAGACCUGAAAGUCUUCUUGGUGAAGGUGGUUUUGGUUGUGUGUUCAAGGGGUGGAUAGAAGAAAAUGGAACUGCUCCAGUCAAACCUGGCACAGGACUUACUGUUGUGGUUAAAACUCUUAAUCAUGAUGGGCUUCAGGGUCAUAAAGAAUGGCCGGCUGAAGUAAAUUUCCUUGGUGACCUUGUCCAUCCAAACUUGGUAAAACUUAUUGGAUACUGCAUUGAAGAUGAUCAAAGGCUGCUAGUGUAUGAGUUCAUGCCUCGAGGGAGCUUGGAGAACCACCUAUUUAGGACAGGGUCCCUGCCUCUUCCAUGGUCUAUUAGAAUGAAAAUUGCAUUGGGUGCGGCAAAAGGUCUUGCUUUUCUUCAUGAGGAGGCAGAAAGACCUGCGAUUUAUCGUGACUUUAAAACCUCCAACAUCUUAUUGGAUGUAGUAUGUGCUUAACACUUUGGUAGAGAAGAGCAGAGAGAUCCAUAAGUUCCUUCUUUUCCAAAGUCCUUGCUAUGUUUGUCUAACUGAUACAAGGAUGCUAGUAAGACUUCAUUCAAGUCCUCAACUCGGUUAGUAUAUGAUGCAAGACUACCUAAAAACUUGGGAAGAUCAGAGAUCGAUGCUCAAGCUUCAAUCAAAUUUUGUACAAGUACUUUCACUUUUUGUUAGACUAGUCUGUAGCACUUAAAUGCAGAUAUGAAACUAUCUAAACAAUGGAUAUGUUAAUUCCUGUGUUGGGAUGAAAUAGUUUUUGGAAUUAAUGGAUGCGUUUCUGGAAUCA